GGGUUGUGAGGUUAAGCGACUAAGCGUACACGGUGGAUGCCCUGGCAGUCAGAGGCGAUGAAGGGCGUACUAAUCUGCGAUAAGCGCCGGUAAGGUGAUAUGAACCGUUAUAACCGGCGAUACCCGAAUGGGGAAACCCAGUGUGAUUCGUCACACUAUCAUUAACUGAAUCCAUAGGUUAAUGAGGCGAACCGGGGGAACUGAAACAUCUAAGUACCCCGAGGAAAAGAAAUCAACCGAGAUUCCCCCAGUAGCGGCGAGCGAACGGGGAGGAGCCCAGAGCCUGAAUCAGCAUGUGUGUUAGUGGAAGCGUCUGGAAAGGCGCGCGAUACAGGGUGACAGCCCCGUACACAAAAGCGCAUGUGCUGUGAGCUCGAUGAGUAGGGCGGGACACGUGGUAUCCUGUCUGAAUAUGGGGGGACCAUCCUCCAAGGCUAAAUACUCCUGACUGACCGAUAGUGAACCAGUACCGUGAGGGAAAGGCGAAAAGAACCCCGGCGAGGGGAGUGAAAAAGAACCUGAAACCGUGUACGUACAAGCAGUGGGAGCACAGGUUUACCUGUGUGACUGCGUACCUUUUGUAUAAUGGGUCAGCGACUUAUAUUCUGUAGCAAGGUUAACCGAAUAGGGGAGCCGGAGGGAAACCGAGUCUUAAUUGGGCGUUAAGUUGCAGGGUAUAGACCCGAAACCCGGUGAUCUAGCCAUGGGCAGGUUGAAGGUUGGGUAACACUAACUGGAGGACCGAACCGACUAAUGUUGAAAAAUUAGCGGAUGACCUGUGGCUGGGGGUGAAAGGCCAAUCAAACCGGGAGAUAGCUGGUUCUCCCCGAAAGCUAUUUAGGUAGCGCCUCGUGAAUUCAUCUCCGGGGGUAGAGCACUGUUUCGGCUAGGGGGCCAUCCCGGCUUACCAACCCGAUGCAAACUGCGAAUACCGGAGAAUGUUAUCACGGGAGACACACGGCGGGUGCUAACGUCCGUCGUGAAGAGGGAAACAACCCAGACCGCCAGCUAAGGUCCCAAAGUCAUGGUUAAGUGGGAAACGAUGUGGGAAGGCCCAGACAGCCAGGAUGUUGGCUUAGAAGCAGCCAUCAUUUAAAGAAAGCGUAAUAGCUCACUGGUCGAGUCGGCCUGCGCGGAAGAUGUAACGGGGCUAAACCAUGCACCGAAGCUGCGGCAGCGACACUGUGUGUUGUUGGGUAGGGGAGCGUUCUGUAAGCCUGCGAAGGUGGCCUGUGAGGGUUGCUGGAGGUAUCAGAAGUGCGAAUGCUGACAUAAGUAACGAUAAAGCGGGUGAAAAGCCCGCUCGCCGGAAGACCAAGGGUUCCUGUCCAACGUUAAUCGGGGCAGGGUGAGUCGACCCCUAAGGCGAGGCCGAAAGGCGUAGUCGAUGGGAAACGGGUUAAUAUUCCCGUACUUGGUGUUACUGCGAAGGGGGGACGGAGAAGGCUAUGUUGGCCGGGCGACGGUUGUCCCGGUUUAAGCGUGUAGGUGUGUGUUCCAGGUAAAUCCGGUUCACUUUAACACUGAGGCGUGACGACGAGGCACUACGGUGCUGAAGCAACAAAUGCCCUGCUUCCAGGAAAAGCCUCUAAGCAUCAGGUAACAUCAAAUCGUACCCCAAACCGACACAGGUGGUCAGGUAGAGAAUACCAAGGCGCUUGAGAGAACUCGGGUGAAGGAACUAGGCAAAAUGGUGCCGUAACUUCGGGAGAAGGCACGCUGACACGUAGGUGAAGUGAUUUACUCAUGGAGCUGAAGUCAGUCGAAGAUACCAGCUGGCUGCAACUGUUUAUUAAAAACACAGCACUGUGCAAACACGAAAGUGGACGUAUACGGUGUGACGCCUGCCCGGUGCCGGAAGGUUAAUUGAUGGGGUCAGCGCAAGCGAAGCUCCUGAUCGAAGCCCCGGUAAACGGCGGCCGUAACUAUAACGGUCCUAAGGUAGCGAAAUUCCUUGUCGGGUAAGUUCCGACCUGCACGAAUGGCGUAAUGAUGGCCAGGCUGUCUCCACCCGAGACUCAGUGAAAUUGAACUCGCUGUGAAGAUGCAGUGUACCCGCGGCAAGACGGAAAGACCCCGUGAACCUUUACUAUAGCUUGACACUGAACAUUGAGCCUUGAUGUGUAGGAUAGGUGGGAGGCUUUGAAGUGUGGACGCCAGUCUGCAUGGAGCCGACCUUGAAAUACCACCCUUUAAUGUUUGAUGUUCUAACGUGGACCCGUUACCCGGGUUGCGGACAGUGUCUGGUGGGUAGUUUGACUGGGGCGGUCUCCUCCUAAAGAGUAACGGAGGAGCACGAAGGUUGGCUAAUCCUGGUCGGACAUCAGGAGGUUAGUGCAAUGGCAUAAGCCAGCUUGACUGCGAGCGUGACGGCGCGAGCAGGUGCGAAAGCAGGUCAUAGUGAUCCGGUGGUUCUGAAUGGAAGGGCCAUCGCUCAACGGAUAAAAGGUACUCCGGGGAUAACAGGCUGAUACCGCCCAAGAGUUCAUAUCGACGGCGGUGUUUGGCACCUCGAUGUCGGCUCAUCACAUCCUGGGGCUGAAGUAGGUCCCAAGGGUAUGGCUGUUCGCCAUUUAAAGUGGUACGCGAGCUGGGUUUAGAACGUCGUGAGACAGUUCGGUCCCUAUCUGCCGUGGGCGCUGGAGAACUGAGGGGGGCUGCUCCUAGUACGAGAGGACCGGAGUGGACGCAUCACUGGUGUUCGGGUUGUCAUGCCAAUGGCACUGCCCGGUAGCUAAAUGCGGAAGAGAUAAGUGCUGAAAGCAUCUAAGCACGAAACUUGCCCCGAGAUGAGUUCUCCCUGAGACU
RNAcentral lists this ribosomal RNA (2808 nucleotides) under Salmonella enterica subsp. enterica serovar Enteritidis. RNAcentral's name for it is "partial 23S ribosomal RNA". It matches the Rfam family "Bacterial large subunit ribosomal RNA". Lineage: Bacteria; Pseudomonadati; Pseudomonadota; Gammaproteobacteria; Enterobacterales; Enterobacteriaceae. The record is from RNAcentral.